This 484-nucleotide ribosomal RNA is filed under the name uncultured bacterium. RNAcentral's name for it is "partial 16S ribosomal RNA". It matches the Rfam family "Bacterial small subunit ribosomal RNA", at positions 30 to 507 of the family's 1533-position model. The record is from RNAcentral.
AUUGAACGCUGGCGGAAUGCUUUACACAUGCCAGUCGAGCGGCAGCGCGGCCUUCGGGCUGGCGGCGAGCGGCGAACGGGUGAGUAAUGCAUCGGAACAUGCCCAGUCGUGGGGGAUAACACUUCGAAAGAAGUGCUAGUACCGCAUACGUCCUGAGGGGGAAAGCGGGGGAUCGCAAGACCUCACGCGAUUGGAGUGGCCGAUGUCCGAUUAGCUAGUUGGUGGGGUAAAGGCCUACCAAGGCGACGAUCUGUAGCUGGUCUGAGAGGAUGAUCAGCCACACUGGGACUGAGACACGGCCCAGACUCCUACGGGAGGCAGCAGUGGGGAAUUUUGGACAAUGGGGGCAACCCUGAUCCAGCCAUUCCGCGUGAGUGAAGAAGGCCUUCGGGUUGUAAAGCUCUUUCGGCAGGAACGAAACGGUGGGCUCUAACAUAGUCCGCUAAUGACGGUACCUGAAGAAGAAGCACCGGCUAACUACGUG